Daktulosphaira vitifoliae (grape phylloxera) is the source of this 3941-nucleotide RNA transcript. It is a transcript of the gene named acid sphingomyelinase-like phosphodiesterase 3a, with no coding region annotated. The record is from RefSeq and is a predicted model, not a curated record. Lineage: Eukaryota; Metazoa; Arthropoda; Insecta; Hemiptera; Phylloxeridae. The transcript is spliced from 12 exons.
GUGUAACCACCGCAGUUGCGAUACUCUUUCGGGCGCCUUUGCACGUUAACAGUCCGGAUGACACUCUCGAUGAGCGUGUUCGUAUAAUCAUUCGUAAGUACGAUCGAAAGUCGUGUUGUGUUUUCAUCAUCAUUUCAGGUCCUUUGAGUUCUUAAGUUCGCGAUAAACGAGUGCCGAUAAAACUUAUUAAUUUCCCAGACACCGGUAGCAAUAAUUUUUUUAUUUAUUUUUUUUUUCGAUUAGAUUUGUACCUUAAUAUUUCAUCCGUGUGGUGAAGUACCUUCAUUAAGUUACUAGUUCUAUCUUCAGUUUCUGCUCAGUUUCACACAUUCCUGUAAAUACAAGAAAUUCAGUUGCAAAAUAUUGGACGGCUAUUCGUACAGCAAAGGAAAGGAUAAAAUGAGACCCCUGUAGGUGGUAUUACAGGCAGUGAUGCUGUUUUUUGCAUUUAUAAUUUGCGUAACAGCCAUUACCACUGCUUCAUCGAGAAUAGGUUACUUUUGGCACAUCACUGAUAUACAAUAUGACGCAAAUUAUGUAACAGCUACCGAUGAUUACGCAAAAAAUUGCAAACAAUCAUCGGACGAUCUAGAGCUUAUGAUCGCGGUCGAAAGAAGACGACCAACUAAUAGUCGUGGCACACUGGGUGACUAUGCAUGUGAUUCGCCAUGGUCAUUAGUCAAAUCAGCCGUAAGGGCUAUGAAAGAAAAACACGGUGACAACAUCGAAUUCAUCCUUUGGUCUGGGGAUUCCGUAUCAUUGGAUGUAAAUGAUGCAUCUGCUCGUGUAGUAGCUAUUCAAAAUGUUACCAAUUUGCUCAGUCACACGUUCAGCAGUCAAUUUGUCUUCCCAGUAUUAGGACACGACGAUCCAGGUGCUUUACUUGGUCAACGAAUCGGUUAUACCGAGUUGGGAUAUUACUGGCGACAAUGGCUACCAACAGAUGCCAUACAAACAUUUAACAAAGGUGGUUACUACACAAUAGAACAAAAAAGCAAUAAACUGAGAAUAAUUGCUCUAAAUUCUAAUGCAUUUACCUCAUACGAAAAUGAUGAAGAUGUUAAUCCAAAUGAGCAACUCGCAUGGUUAGAAAGAAUUCUUCUAAAGUCCGCUAAAAAUAAAGAAACGGUUUAUCUAGUUAGUCAUAAAUGUCCAGGAGUCAAUGAAAGGGAUCCUGAUGAAGCUCCCAAAUUUCACGAUAAAUAUAGUUCUAAGUACUUACAAUUGAUUCGGAGGUAUGCCAAUAUUAUUGUUGGUCAGUUCUGUGGUGACCUUCACUCGGAUACUUUUCGAAUAGUAUAUGAUCACAAUAAAAGGCCGGUGUCGUGGAUGAUGAUGUCACCAUCUUUAACACCUAGCAAAUCGCCAGGCAUAUCGAAUAACCCAGGCCUAAGACUUUACAAAUUUAAUAUUAAUUCCGGCCAUAUUUUAGAUUACACUCAAUAUUAUAUCGACUUAGAAACGUCGACGAAUGGAAGUCCGGAUGACUGGAGAGUAGAAUACAAUUUGACACAAUAUUAUGGGCUACAUGAAAUCACGCCAAGAUCAUUACAUGAAGUGGCAGAGACAUUUCAACUGGAUAAUUCUAUACAGUUUGACAGAUACAUCGAGGCCAACUCUGUGCGGUUACACCAAUCUCGAGAGUGUAACUUAGAAUGCCGUAGAAUGCACUAUUGUGCUGUUAGAGAGUUGGACUAUAGUCGGUUUCACAGUUGUGUAGAAACCGCAGCCGAAGCGCUUUCAGUUUCCGCUUCCCCGCCACACUGCCACACGCUAUUUGCUGCGGUUUUACUGGUCGCCAUAGCAUUAGUACACCAGCGCCAACAGUAUUAACCUUCAUCUAUUCAACUUUGACAUGUUUCAGGUAAAUCGGAAAAGAUUAAAUUGUGACACAAAAAGCUUAAUGUUUAAAGUAUCAAUAAAUUUGUAUUACCGUUUAUUUUUCAUUGUUUUGAUAGCAUAAAGCAUUAAAUAACGGACUCAAAAAAUAUUCAAAAGUGCUCAAUCUGAUGCUGAUAAUUAAAUGCCAUCGAAGAAGAUAGUUUUAAUGAAAGCUCAAGUAAAAAGGACGCUAUGGAAUUAUAUUAGAAUUAAAUUUGAAAGUUUCAAAAAAAGAGCUGUAGAAAGAUUAAUAAGAAGUUAUGACGAAUUAUAGACACUAAGCAAGUUGUAUAUUAUAUCAAAAUUAUAAUUUAAUAAUCAAGUAUCCAUUUUAUUUGUACAAGUAGAAAUUUUCUCAUUAAAAUCAGAAGAGUCUGACGUAGUUUAGGAUGAUUUUAACAAACCUGGUCCUUCUAAAAUGUACAUUAAUCAACCAACUAAAGGAAGUGUGAUUUAAUUACUCAAAAACUUGUAGCUGCUCUUGAUAAAUGGGAAAUAAGUAAUAAGGAUGCAUUAUCUGCAUUAAUAUUAACAGUAAAAGCAUUGAGUAAGCAAGUUGAAAAAUUAAUUAUGAUAUUAAUAGUCUUUCAAUUGGACACUCACAUAUACGUUUCCGCGAAUAGCGCGUGGAAAAAAUUCGUAGUGAUUAUUGGGUAACUGUUAAUGUUUCCAUUGUUUUUUUUGUGAGAUUCAUACGCUUUAACCAUUACAACCAUUAACAAAACAAAAAAAUGUUAAUAGACUGCCUUUUAUUGCUUCGUAUAAUGGUGAGAGUAUAUUAUUAGGAGUUUCAACAGUUGAUACAAAAACAGAGGUUAGCCAGACUAAUGCAAUUUUCCUCAUUGAUUGGUGCAUAAUAGAAAAUUUGGAUAUAUUAAUCGGUACUUGUAUUCUAUAAGAAAAUUACUUAUAACAUAAUAUUUUAUACAUACCAUGUCGACAUCAUAUUUACGAAUUAGGCUUGAAGAGUGUUUUUGAAGUAUGAUUGUGUACAAAAUCUGGUCCUGAUGUACCAAUACUUAUACGCUUUCAACAAUGUUGAAGAAACAUAGCUACUAACAAAUUCUAGCCAGGUACAAUGAAUAACUCUGAAAAAAAAAAAUAAUAAUUUAUAUAGGUGUAGAUGUAAUUAACUUAACAAAUAACUAUUUUCUCAUUAAACUAACAAUCACUUUUCUGGAUGGAGUUCCCCCGUGCAAACUUUUCUCUGAAGUUUCGGGAGCUGUCUAUCAUUCUAAAUAGAUGGAAAAAGCUUUAUAUUGUUUAAAAAUAUUUUUACUCGUAAAUCAAUUGUGUUUUUAACAAAGAGGAGAAAUGUCAUUUGUUAAUAUUUGCAAUUUCAUUAAUCGAUUAUAUGUAUACGCUUUGUUUUAUGCACCGCCUCCCAGGCACCAUGCCGAGAUUUUAUUUUAUAUUUAACUUUAUUAAACAUCAGUCAUUAGAUAAAAAUAUACCAGAAAUCACAAUUAAAAACCUGUUUAGCCAUUUAUGGUAUCUAUCGUCCGAGACCACGGUAUUAUUAUCAAUUUUUAAUUCACACGAUACAUGUCACUAAAAGAAAAAUUAUAGUUGUUUUUAAAAUUCAAACUAAUGACAAUAAACCAGUAGAUAUUUAUGGAAUGAUAAAAAAUCUACUGAAGUAUAAAAAUCUUUGAAGAAGAUUUCAUUUGUUGUAAAUGAAUGCUAUUUUCAUACGUUUUAAUAUAGACAAUAAUUUUCUCAUUAUUCACCCAUUAUUAUGGAGUAUUAAUAAAAAAUUUAAAGGAUCGACAGUUCUAUUAAUAGUUCAAAUUUAGUCAAUGAUAAAACUGAAAGUAAUAAACUACUAAAGCAUUUUAAGAUUAAAAUAACAUACCUACGAUGAAGUCAAAACCUAUAUUUUCUUUAAGUAGUGAACGACUACAGUAAAAGAAUGUUUCCAGUUUCCUAAAAAAAUGCUAUUUUAGAUAAUUAGUUUAACAAUUAUUAUUAGUGAUAAUACAAAUAUUAUUUAUUAUUUGCCAUACUAUAAAACUAAUACUGGAAUUGAUUUUAUGAGUUUAGCAAUAAAAAAUUUAUAU